GAAGGAAUCAUCAGCUUUUGAUUGUUGCUAGCUUCUGAUAAGUACUUUUAUUGCUGGUUCUUAGCAGUGGGAGAAGAAAAAGAAGCAGUAAUCUAGUUUUGACCGUUGCCCGAUUCUGUUUCCUGUUCUCAGAGGGAAGGCUUGUGUCAAGAUGAAUCCAGGUGACGAUAUUCCUGUGGUGGAGGUGGAACAAUCCAUGGCUCUAUCUCUGAUAAGAGAGAGCCAAUUAUUGACCCCAUCUCAUGUAGAAAGU
This is a long non-coding RNA of Dioscorea cayenensis subsp. rotundata (Guinea yam), 253 nucleotides long. RefSeq lists it as uncharacterized. The record is from RefSeq and is a predicted model, not a curated record. The transcript has 3 exons. NCBI's taxonomy places the organism in Eukaryota, Viridiplantae, Streptophyta, Magnoliopsida, Dioscoreales, Dioscoreaceae.